GCCGACGUAGCUUAGUGGCCUAGAGCAGCCGGCUUGUAACCGGCAGGACAGGGGUUCAAUUCCCCUCGUCGGCU
Molecule: transfer RNA, 74 nt
Filed under: Thermoplasmata archaeon
Lineage: Archaea; Methanobacteriati; Thermoplasmatota; Thermoplasmata
Also listed under: 1 other name
Description: tRNA-Thr
Rfam family: tRNA
About the family: Transfer RNA (tRNA) molecules are approximately 80 nucleotides in length. Their secondary structure includes four short double-helical elements and three loops (D, anti-codon, and T loops).
Source: RNAcentral